GGAGAGGUGGCCGAGUGGCUUAAGGCGACGGUUUGCUAAACCGUUGUACGGGUUUAUCCCCGUACCGGGGGUUCGAAUCCCCCCUUCUCCG
This 91-nucleotide transfer RNA is filed under the name Burkholderiales bacterium. RNAcentral describes it as "tRNA-Ser". It matches the Rfam family "tRNA". Rfam says of the family: Transfer RNA (tRNA) molecules are approximately 80 nucleotides in length. Their secondary structure includes four short double-helical elements and three loops (D, anti-codon, and T loops). Further hydrogen bonds mediate the characteristic L-shaped molecular structure. tRNAs have two regions of fundamental functional importance: the anti-codon, which is responsible for specific mRNA codon recognition, and the 3' end, to which the tRNAs corresponding amino acid is attached (by aminoacyl-tRNA synthetases). tRNAs cope with the degeneracy of the genetic code in two manners: having more than one tRNA (with a specific anti-codon) for a particular amino acid; and 'wobble' base-pairing, i.e. permitting non-standard base-pairing at the 3rd anti-codon position. Lineage: Bacteria; Pseudomonadati; Pseudomonadota; Betaproteobacteria; Burkholderiales. RNAcentral also lists the same sequence under 1 other name. The record is from RNAcentral.